GAUGAACGCUGGCGGCGUGCCUAAUACAUGCAAGUCGAGCGAACAGACGAGGAGCUUGCUCCUCUGACGUUAGCGGCGGACGGGUGAGUAACACGUGGAUAACCUACCUAUAAGACUGGGAUAACUUCGGGAAACCGGAGCUAAUACCGGACAAUAUAUUGAACCGCAUGGUUCAAUAGUGAAAGACGGUUUUGCUGUCACUUAUAGACGGAUCCGCGCCGCAUUAGCUAGUUGGUAAGGUAACGGCUUACCAAGGCAACGAUGCGUAGCCGACCUGAGAGGGUGAUCGGCCACACUGGAACUGAGACACGGUCCAGACUCCUACGGGAGGCAGCAGUAGGGAAUCUUCCGCAAUGGGCGAAAGCCUGACGGAGCAACGCCGCGUGAGUGAUGAAGGUCUUCGGAUCGUAAAACUCUGUUAUUAGGGAAGAACAAAUGUGUAAGUAACUAUGCACGUCUUGACGGUACCUAAUCAGAAAGCCACGGCUAACUACGUG
This 497-nucleotide ribosomal RNA is filed under the name uncultured bacterium. Its description in RNAcentral is "partial 16S ribosomal RNA". It matches the Rfam family "Bacterial small subunit ribosomal RNA", at positions 28 to 507 of the family's 1533-position model. The record is from RNAcentral.